RNA transcript from Marmota monax (woodchuck), 6920 nucleotides. It is a transcript of the gene named sperm equatorial segment protein 1, with no coding region annotated. NCBI's taxonomy places the organism in Eukaryota, Metazoa, Chordata, Mammalia, Rodentia, Sciuridae. The transcript has 2 exons. The record is from RefSeq and is a predicted model, not a curated record.
UGGGGGAGGGGCGGGGCGGCCGCGAGAGACCCGGGAAACAUGGCUGCUCGUCCUAGUUCGGCGUCGCGGCGUGGCUACCAGCCCCCGGAUCCGAGUUGGGAGAGGUGCCAAAGUUGAGACCACACUGCUGGCAACAUGAUGUGAGACAGUGCCUUUCCAGAGGAGUAAUCCCUUUAAAGCCAACCAAUCAAGUGCACAGAUGUGCAGGCUUCCAGCAUUGCUAAACAGAAGCAAAGAGCUCACAUUGGUGUACCAGGAGUGAAGAGAAUGACUUGGAAGCCCAAACCCUCAUUAAGAACAUUGUAUGGAAACAAAAUUGUAAAAAAAAUAUCAUAAACUGAUCACCAAAUCAAAAUAUUAAAUCUAACUUGUUUUAGAAGCAUCUUUAUACAUUUUGAUAACAGCUUUUGUAUUAGUGUUAGAAAAUUUGAAAGAAGGUUUCCUUAAAUGUCAAUCAUUACAGAAGCUGAACCAUCAAAAGUAUUUUUUGCCUCAGGAGGCUGAGGCAGGAGGAUUUCGAGUUCAAAGUCAGCCUCAGCAAAAGCAAAGCACUAAGCAACUGAGACCCUGGGUCUAAAUAAAAUACAAAAUAAGGAUGGGGUUGUGGCUCAGUGGUCAAGUGCUUCUGAUCAAGUUCCCACCUACCCACCCCCUGCCACAAAAUUAUUUUUUGAGUACUGACCAUUUUCCAACAUAUUUUGAAAGAAGAAAUUUUCUUGUUUAUUCCUAAGAAAGUUUUAAUAUGAUUUUUUGUCUAUUUUUUAUUAUCAAAAGGAAAUAGUAAUAUAGCUUAGCUAAAGUUAACUGAUUGUCCUAACAAGACUUGACUAAACAAAAAAAAGUGCUCUUAAAUUUACAGUUUUUAAAUUAAAUUUUAUUGCAUACUAUGGUAGUCAACAAAUGUCCUGAGUGAGUCUACAUUUUAAAAAAUAUAGUAAGAAAAUAAGCCCUAUAUCAAGGAAUCUUGGUAGAAUUUUGAUAUGUAAUAGGAACAGGUGGAGUUCCUCAAUGAGUGAUCCUAUAUAGAUUAUAGAAGGUUAGAUUAUAAAAGAUAUAGUCUCUAACUUCUGAAAUGGCUUGAUUUCCACUGAGGAGAAUAAAUGAGAUACAAUUCAAAAUUUUUAAUCCCUAGAGAAAAAGAUGGCUUUCAAGUAAGGAAAUGUUCCAAAAUGUUUUCCAUCAAGAAUCAUUCCAGACAAAUGAGCAGCUCAUUUUGUUCUCAAAGACACAAGCAAUGUGUGUUCUUAGUCUCUUUUGAUAUGUGUUGAAAAGUACUCUUUUAUAAAUAUGGACAUUAUUGCUACUGCCAUUUUAGAUGGUUUUUUUCUUGUUUGGUCUCUAAAGAUGGAGACCCUUUGGUUAGCAACUUUCUCAUAAGUCAAGCUAAUGUAUUCACAGUUCAGCUUUUUAUUCUUCAAUUGAAGCACAUAUACUGGAGCCUAGCCAUAGUACUCUUUCACCUACACUAUGGAUCUGCUGCUUGGACCCCAAAGACAAUGAUAUGGAAAGACUCCAGCUUAAUUAUACUCUCUUUUGUCUCCUAUAUAAAUAGCUUUUAGAAAUGUAGAUUAUUCUUUUGAAAUCCAUGGUAACAAAUGUGAAUACUAUGAAUUUUGAUUUGAAGAGCAAAGGAAUGUUGAGACCCAGGAUCUAAAAAGUUAUUCCUAAUUUUCUUUUCCUUAAUAAAAUAUUUAACGUUUUUAAAAAAACAUUGAUUGAAUAGUUACCAUAUCAAUAGAUUGGUCUUAGAGAAAAGACAGUUAGAUGAAGAUGUCCAUAAUAUGUGACUUUAAAAAUUAAGCUAAUCAUAGAAAUCUUAAAAGCAGAAUAAAGGUGGUUUAUUUUGAAAGAGAAAAAAAAAACCUAUCACCUGUACACUUGUUUUGAAUCACUAAAAAUUCUGUGAGUCAGCUCCUUAAAUAUAUUUAUUAAAAAUAAUUUGGAGGUAGCAAUAAGAGGAAAAUUUGUUUACUGUUUACCAGGAAUAAAACCAGAGGUAUAGGUCUUAUUUUUAGUAUUAAGAUAUAGCUGUAUAAAAAAAAAUGCCUUAAAGAUAAAUAAUGGAAUGAGGAGCCAUAGAAUAAGAAUGUGACUAAAGACAAUUUAGAUUGGAAAAAAAAGCAAUUAAUUUAGAGUGUACGAAUUUGUUUUAAUUCAUCUGGGGUUGUAUUGCACCUCUAUAAAGAAAGGGUACUAAAUAUAUUAGGAUAGAAGGGUAGAGAUCAGACUUUAUAAGAAUUUCCAAUGUAUUUGCUAUUUGCAAAUGAUAUUCAUAAUCUUUAGCAUACAUGCAAAAUUGUCCUCUCAGAUUCUUUGCUUUGUAAUGGCAGUUGUUAUUUGUUCUUACAUAUAUUGAUCUAUUUUCAAACAUAUAUUCUACAAUUCUUCAUGAAUUAGAGAUCAGUUUGUUGCAUUCUGAGAAGUUAGUAAAUUUUUAUUGUAUUUCUAGUCAAAUGUUGAGUUCCUUUGGAAGAGUAUGCACCACCUUAAACUUUCUCUGGAAAUUCUGGAUUCUAGCACUUUUAACGUAAAUAUUUUUAAUUUAUUUGCAUAUGACCAAAUGAGAUAGCCUUGGUAGGUAUUUGAGGACUCUUACCCAGCAGAGGAACAUGUUUUACUCUGCUAGAUUGGUGUUCUGGCCCAAUAAUUUACCUGAACUCAUUCUACAUAAAUUCUUGUGUUUGAGAAUUAUAUGACUUUCACAUAUAUUUACUUACUCAAAGGCAAUUUUAAUAAAUGUGAUAAAUAGGCUGGGAUGUAGCUCAGUGGAGGAACACUUGCCUCAUAUGCACAAAGCCCUGGGUUCAAUCCCCGGUAUCACAAAAAAAAAAAAAAAAAAAAGGAAAAGAGGCCAAAGGAAAAGAAACAAAGUGUGACAAAUACUUUUCCCUCAGCUGGCCAACUCACUAUGUCUGAGCUGAUGUGAGAAAGUACUGCUGAGGGUAAAGCCGAAGAGCAGGCAAGUUCAGGAUGCAAGUGUGUGAACAUGUGUGACAAGCACGUUGACCAUAGUAUCAUGUUACUUUUUAUAAUAGCUAAAGAAAGGAAGAAUAUAUUCAUAUGCCCACGAAAAAGGCCAGAGAGGGUAUGUACCCAAACAAAAUGUUUUUUUAAAUUGUUUUUACAGUGGUUUUAUUAUGGGUGAUGAAGUUAUAAUUUUUUUUGGGGGGGGGUUGCUUUUCUUAAUUUUUGAAGUGUUCUGGUUGAUAAAUAAUUUUUUUUCAAAAGAAAAACAGUUGUUUUUAAUGGAAAAACCUAGGUGUAGCUGAUAUCUGUGUUAGUCAUAAUUCUUGGAUGAAAACAACAGAAAUUUACCCCGACCGAUAAGCAGAAAGCAGUUUUUAAAUAAGGCUAACACAGAACCAAAGAACAAGGUCCAAAAAAUGAGCAGUAAAUGGAAUGCUGGGCACCCUGGAGCACAGCCAAGAGGACACUAUAGGAUACUCUGCAGAGACCUCCACCAGAGAAGUCAUCUCUAAGCGGUGGACAGCCCGCCACACCAACCCUACUGCUGCAAAUGCAUCCUGCAUUUUUGUGUCACUCCCUUAAGGUUUGAAGCCCUUAGCAAGAAUAUUUGCAGAUGGCCCAGCUGUCAGAGAAAAAGAUUAUGUGCCCCCUUUAGUUUCCACAGUGGGAUGUGUAACCCUGCCUCCUAGCUAUUCUAGGAUUCUGCCCAAAGAGUGUUCUGAUGCUAGGAGACCAAAGCAAAAAAUUCCACAAAAGUGAUCUAAUUCAGUAUCACUGUGAAAGUUUUCUAAUGAUCCCUAUUACCCCCACCUCAGCUUCUCUCCUGAUUGCUACUACUUACUAGAGAGACUACACCACUUACCUAGGAACAACCUAAAGCAGAGCUAAUAUAUGGAAUCCUAAUGUUUUUUUGAAGGUAUCCCUUUCCCAGUCCUAUGUCAGAAUAAACAAUAUAUCGGUGUGAAUGAAAUACUUAUCAAAGCAGAGCUGUUGAUAACCAUAAGACUUUGAGGAAAAUAUCCCCAGUAAAGAUAUUUGAUCUUAAAUUGAAAAUAAUUUAGUCUUAAGGGGUAAUCAAAAGAUAGGAAUAACCAACUUGUUAUAUUUCAUGCAUAAAACAUAAAUAUCAAGUGACGUAUUACUGAAAAUGAGUUCCUAUGUGCUACUCUAAGUACACAAUUCAGGCUCAAAUGCAGAACUCAGCUAAAGUGUAUGAGAUUUACAGUCAAAGUCUUUGGAAGUAGAUGAGUAGUCCUAGGCUAAGUAAGAGUUACAGGAAGGAUGCAGUCACUUUAGGACCAUUUUGAAGAAAAAAUACUGAUAGUAAAAGAAAUUCAGGACAACAAACACAUAAAAGAGGAACAUAUUCCUAGAAACAAAGAUGAAGGUCAUCAAGGAUAUGCUUAUAGAAAACAUAUCAAUACUGGAAUAGUUUCCUCUCUCCCACCAUUUCAGGUCAGUUAGCUGAGAUUGCUUUUCAGCUAGAAAAAAAAAAUCAUAUCCUUUCAAGGACUCUAAACAAUGUUAUAGGAGUUCAACAGUUUUAUGUUUCUAUUAAAGCAUGGAAUAACUGUUACAUGAAUAGAAGUUCUUUUUAAGUAAGUGCCCAUAACUACUUUCCAGAGGAGCAGUGCUAAAGAUUCUAUUCAUUGAUAUACAAAAUGUUCUUUAUCUUAUGGAGUAGAAUUUAACUGUUUUCUCAGAUUAUUUAAUGCAAAUUAUGUCAGACUGCUAAUUGUUCAACAAAAUCCAUUUCCUCUUCUUCCUGAACACAAAGUUUGGCAGUGCUUCCCAGUUGCCAAUGCAGUUACAUGUGUUCAUGUGACUGAGUCCUAGCAAGUAGAGUGUGAGUAAAAAUGUGUUGCACUUCAAGGCCCUAAAUCACCCAUGCUUGCCAGUUGAGAUGGAUAUGACAGAAUGACCUUAGAAAUCAUGAGGUGGAAACUCUCUCAGCCUGUGUCCCUUAGGAGAGCCAUCUCACCAGCUUAUUAACGUAUCCAUCAAGAGAGCAACUGUGACCAAGACAGAAACUUUCAUGGUGCUGUGCCAUUACACACUUGGUCUAUUUGUUACUGUAGCUUCUGCUAACUAAUACAAUAAUAAACUUAUUUAUUUAACCUUUGUUUUCCUUCCAUUUGCAAUCUUAUGGAUAAAUUGUAAAUUUGAAUACUGUUGAAUCUGCAAUGUAUUGCUUUGAAUUACAGGCUUAAAGCAUCACAAAACAAAAUAUAAUCUAAUGAAAAUAUUAAAUAACACAUACUUAAUGAAGACAGUUCUAAGGGAGUCUAUAGAAAUGACAUGUAAAUAUAGCUACCAUAAAAUUAGUGCUUGGCUCAUAGAAGUAUAAAAUAAAUGUCUAUUAUCUUAUUAAUAAAUGAUUCCUCCUAAUGAGUUCUAGACUAACAAUUUAGUAGCUUGGUUGCUUGUUGGACAUUUCUAAAUAGCUGUCCUGCAGGGACAUCCACAUGAUAUUUCCAAAACUAAUCUUCCUUACCAGCCUCUGCUCACUCUGCCUCCACCAGACUAUGAUCCUCCCAAUUUCCCUCUUUUUAUCAGUGGCACCCUUAAAAUUGUCCUUCAUUGACUCCCAUAGCCAAAUGGUUGUUCCUAAUUUUUAAAACUUGUUCUUUUUUAGACAUACAUGACAGUAGAGCAUAUUUUGACAUAGUACACAUACAUGGUGCAUAAAUUAUUCUAAUUAAGAUCCCAUUCUUGUGAUUAUACAGGAAGUGGAGUUUCACUGGUGAUGUAUUCAUAUAUGAACAGAGAAAAGUGAUGUCCAAUUCAAUCUACUGUAUUUCCUAUUCCCAUUGUCCCCUUCCUUCCUUCCCCUUUGUCUAAUCCAAUGAACUUCUAUUCUUCUUCUAAUUUCCCUCCCAGUAUCUUUCCUCCUUUCAGCCCCCUUUUUACCACUGUAUCUAAGACUAUUCACAUUAUUUCCAAUCUCCCCCAUGUCCAAAUCCCUACCCUGUGCUAGUAGUUCCUAGGUUUCUGGUUUUCUCACCUGUGGUAUUUCAGAAAAGGGUUUCAGGACCAAUAUGGGAUUGCCAACUUUAAAUUUUGCCAGACAAAAACAUUCUUUAAAAAAAAAAAAUCUAUGACAGAUUGGACACAGUGGCACAUGCCUGUAAAUCCCAGCUACUUAGGAGGUUGAAGGCAGGAGGAUCACAAGUAUCACUCAUUUUUCUAUAGACAUUUUAAGGUUUUUAUUUGUUUAUUUUUCAGUGUUAGGAAUCAAACCUAACACUGUGUGUGUGCUGGGCAGGUCUCCUGUGUGCUGGGCAGGCACUCGACAGCUGAGUCACACCCUAACCUUAUAUUUUUUUCUGUGGACUAUUUAAACAAUGGUAAUAAUGUGUAAGGUACUCAACUUCAGAAUACAGGACAAUCUUUUAGAUUAAAUAAACAAUUUUACAAGAACUUAUUACAUUGUCCAAGAUCAGGUGAUUGGAAGCUCUCAUGUGGCAUUGACCCUCAGGUCUCAAUAUUUUCUCUCACAGCCAGAUGGAUACUCCUGAGCUCCAGUUACAGUGCUUUUCUGAUCAACAAUAGGUCCCCUCUGGCUUAUUCUCCAUCUGGCAUUAAGUUCCCAAAAGGGAGACCCCACACAAUAAUUGCUCUGCUUUGAAUGUGUCUCCCCAAAGUUCAUGUGUUGGAAACAAUCCCCAAAUUAAUGUGUUUAUGGGGACCCAUGGGAAGAUGGGAUCUUUGGGUUGUUAUUAGGAUUAGAUGAGGUCAUCAGGGUAGGGCCCCUUGAUUGGAUUAGUGGCUUUAUAAAAGAGGGAGAGAGGCCCUAGCUACCAUGCUAGCUCUUUCUUAUCAUGUAGUGUCCUCUGCCAUCUUAUGAUGCAGUGAGAAGUCCCCACAGACCCUGUGUAGUUGCCAGAAUUAUGUUUUGGACUUCCUGGCCUCCAGAACCAUGAGCUAAAUAAACUUUCAUUCUUUGAAAAUCA